UUGUAAUAUAACAAAAGACUCUUCCUUAAUGACAUCGCCAUGCAGGAAGUGACAUCAUAUUGGAGGGAAACCAGCAGCACAAACAUCAUCCCGGGAAGAAACGGCACCACAGAUCGCUGGAUGCUUCAACAGGGCUGAAAACGAAUGCGGAUUUUUCGAGGGUCGCCUCAAAGCAGCUGCGAAAGUGAGAGUAAUUGAGAGGUGAUGAAGGUAGUGAUCUCAUGGGGAAAGAGUUUCUGGAACAGUAGCGGGGGAAGGAGAGGAGGUCUCUAUCCCACUGUGAGGCCACAUUCUUGGCUCUGCAUAGCUCCAGAGACGUCACCCGGGUCAUGAGGUGUUUCACAUAACAAGGACGUUUUGAUGUUAAAGGCAAUUCAUCAAGCAUUUCUUCUGCUCCCAGAGGCCAUAACAGCACAGAGCGGAGAGGAAAAUGGACUCUUAUCAGGAUUGUACAAUAUAUUCCUUAUUUUAUCUUAACAAAUCCAUUCUCUUUCUGUUUUGCUUGCAGGAUCAGAUAGCAGGCCCUCGAUAUGUUCAGAAUGGGAGCUUUCCAAAAGAUAGAGGAAUUUGGGUCACAUUUUAGAAUAACUCCACUCAUGUGCUACUCUAACUAAUCUGCAGAUUCAAAAUAAUCCCCUAAUGCUGUAAUAACCCAUUAUAUAUUUAUGUAUGGCUUUUAUUCUCAAUACAUGUAAUAGUUUGAAUAAGCACAACUGCGGAAACGUUCAGUGGUCCAUCUGGCCGGUGUUAGUAUGCAGUUUUCCCAAACUGGUUGUGAAUCACUGGAAGGUCAUGACCUACAGGGCAAUGGAGGGAAUCUGUGACGGCAAAGCUUUUUAUUUAAUAUUGCUGUUUACUACAACAUGGCACAAACUGGUUUAUUGUAAUUUGCAUGUUAAUAAAUGUACCUUAUGUGCACCCCUUUACAUGAUAGUUUAUUAAAUAUUUUAGCUAAUUUGAUGCUAUCAGCUACUGAUAUGAGUGUUGUACUCCAUUUAACACAUUUUAGG
Long non-coding RNA from Onychostoma macrolepis, 1010 nucleotides. RefSeq lists it as uncharacterized. The record is from RefSeq and is a predicted model, not a curated record. Lineage: Eukaryota; Metazoa; Chordata; Actinopteri; Cypriniformes; Cyprinidae. The transcript is spliced from 4 exons.